Molecule: ribosomal RNA, 2223 nt
Filed under: human gut metagenome
Description: bacterial LSU rRNA
Rfam family: Bacterial large subunit ribosomal RNA
Source: RNAcentral
AGGGCGUACAGUGGAUGCCUUGGCACCGAAAGACGAUGAAGGACGCGACUACCUGCGAUAAUCCUCGGCGAGCUGGAAGUAAGCUUUGACCCGAGGGUCUCCGAAUGGGGAAACCCGAUGCGCGUUAUGGCGCACCACCUGACCGGCCAAUACAUAACCGGCAGGAGACAACCCUGGGAAUUGAAACAUCUAAGUACCAGGAGGAAAAGAAAGAGAAUUCGAUUCCGUCAGUAGCGGCGAGCGAAAGCGGAAGAGCCUAAACCACCUUGAGUGGGGUUCGGGAUCACAUCAGUAUAAGUAGACACAAGGAGAAUUACCUGGAAUGGUAAGCCAAAGAGGGUGAAAGCCCCGUACCUGUAAAAAUGCUACUUGUCGUGAUUUCCAGAGUACGGCGGGACACGUGAAAUCCUGUCGGAAUGUGCGGAGACCACUCCGUAAGGCUAAAUACUCUUCGGUGACCGAUAGUGAACCAGUACCGUGAGGGAAAGGUGAAAAGAACCCCGGGAGGGGAGUGAAAAGAAUCUGAAACCGUAUGCCUACAAAAAGUCAGAGGGCGUUAAAGCCUGAUGACGUGCCUAUUGAAGAAUGAGCCGGCGAGUUAUGAACACAUGCGAGGUUAAGGAGAAGAUCCGGAGCCGAAGCGAAAGCGAGUCUUAACAGGGCGACAGUAUGUGUUUGUAGACCCGAAACCCGACGAUCUAGCCAUGAUCAGGAUGAAGUAAGGGUAAAACCUUAUGGAGGUCCGAACCGACGUUCGUUGAAACGCCCGCGGAUGAAUUGUGGCUCGUGGUGAAAUUCCAAUCGAGUCGGGUAAUAGCUGGUUCUCCCCGAAAUAGCUUUAGGGCUAGCCUUGGGACAUUGUUUAGUGGGGGUAAAGCACUGAAUAUGAGCGAGCCGCGCCAAGCGGUAUCAAUCAUAAUCAAACUCUGAAUCCCAUUAGAUGUACCCCAGGAGUCAGACUACGGGAGAUAAGUUCCGUGGUCAAGAGGGCAACAGCCCAGACCGCCGAUUAAGGUCCCUAAAUUCACGCUAAGUGUCAAAGGAUGUAGAGAUACUCAAACAGCUAGGAUGUUGGCUCAGAGGCAGCCAUCAUUUAAAGAAUGCGUAACAGCUCACUAGUCAAGUGUCUCCGCGCCGAAAAUUUACCGGGGCUAAGCGUGAUACCGAAAUCGCGGAUGAAUCCUAAAAAUUCGUGGUAGGGGAGCGUUCUGUUUGCAGUGAAGCCAUAUCGUGAGGAGUGGUGGAGCGUACAGAAGCGAGAAUGCCGGCGUAAGUAACGAUAAAGGGUGAGAAUCCCUUUCACCAAUUGACUAAGGUUUCCUGGGCAAGGUUCGUCCUCCCAGGGUUAGUCGGGACCUAAGGCGAGGCCGACAGGCGUAGUCGAUGGACAGCAGGUUGAUAUUCCUGCACCCGAGCACGCAGUGAUGCAAUGACGAAAACGGCUAUGCUCACCUCCGAUCGGAAGUGGAGGGCAGAGCGUAGGAGUCGAUUCCUUGUUAAGUACGGGAAUCAUUAAGACAAAGACGUGCGGUAUGAAAGUCGCGAGACGAGUAAGAAACAGCAGACGCCGAUUUCCAAGAAAAGUUGCUAACGUUAAACGUGUUCGGCCCGUACCGAGAACGGACACACGUGGUCAAGGAGAAUAUCCUGAGGUGAGCGAGAUAACUGUUGUUAAGGAACUCUGCAAAAUAACUUCGUAAGUUAGCAAGAAGAAGUGCUCCAGCGAUGGAGCCGCAGCGAAUCGGCCCAAGUAACUGUUUACCAAAAACACAGCUCUAUGCUAAGUCGCAAGACGAUGUAUAUGGGGUGACGCCUGCCCGGUGCCGGAAGGUUAAAAGGAGAGGUUAGGAGCAAUCCGAAGCUUUGAAUUGAAGCCCCGGUGAACGGCGGCCGUAACUAUAACGGUCCUAAGGUAGCGAAAUUCCUUGUCAGGUAAGUUCUGACGUGCACGAAUGGUGUAAUAAUUUGGGCGCUGUCUCGACAGCAGACUCGGUGAAAUCUUAAUACCGGUGAAGAUGCCGGUUACCCGCGACUAGACGGAAAGACCCCAUGGAGCUUUACUAUAACUUAAUAUUGAGUAAAUGCGAAUCUUGUACAGUAUAGGUGGGAGACUUUGAAGUCGGGGCGUCAGCUUCGAUGGAGUCGCCGUUGGGAUACCACUCUGGAUUUGCAUUUAUUCUAACUCCUACCCUGGAUGGGCGGGAGGACAGUGUUAGGCGGGUA